UUAAGCGACUAAGCGUACACGGUGGAUGCCCUGGCAGUCAGAGGCGAUGAAGGACGUGCUAAUCUGCGAUAAGCGUCGGUGAGGUGAUAUGAACCGUUAUAACCGGCGAUUUCCGAAUGGGGAAACCCAGUGUGUUUCGACACACUAUCAUUAACUGAAUCCAUAGGUUAAUGAGGCGAACCGGGGGAACUGAAACAUCUAAGUACCCCGAGGAAAAGAAAUCAACCGAGAUUCCCCCAGUAGCGGCGAGCGAACGGGGAGGAGCCCAGAGCCUGAAUCAGUGUGUGUGUUAGUGGAAGCGUCUGGAAAGGCGCGCGAUACAGGGUGACAGCCCCGUACACAAAAAUGCACAUACUGUGAGCUCGAUGAGUAGGGCGGGACACGUGGUAUCCUGUCUGAAUAUGGGGGGACCAUCCUCCAAGGCUAAAUACUCCUGACUGACCGAUAGUGAACCAGUACCGUGAGGGAAAGGCGAAAAGAACCCCGGCGAGGGGAGUGAAAAAGAACCUGAAACCGUGUACGUACAAGCAGUGGGAGCCUCUUAAUGGGGUGACUGCGUACCUUUUGUAUAAUGGGUCAGCGACUUAUAUUCUGUAGCAAGGUUAACCGAAUAGGGGAGCCGAAGGGAAACCGAGUCUUAACUGGGCGUUAAGUUGCAGGGUAUAGACCCGAAACCCGGUGAUCUAGCCAUGGGCAGGUUGAAGGUUGGGUAACACUAACUGGAGGACCGAACCGACUAAUGUUGAAAAAUUAGCGGAUGACUUGUGGCUGGGGGUGAAAGGCCAAUCAAACCGGGAGAUAGCUGGUUCUCCCCGAAAGCUAUUUAGGUAGCGCCUCGUGAAUUCAUCUCCGGGGGUAGAGCACUGUUUCGGCAAGGGGGUCAUCCCGACUUACCAACCCGAUGCAAACUGCGAAUACCGGAGAAUGUUAUCACGGGAGACACACGGCGGGUGCUAACGUCCGUCGUGAAGAGGGAAACAACCCAGACCGCCAGCUAAGGUCCCAAAGUCAUGGUUAAGUGGGAAACGAUGUGGGAAGGCCCAGACAGCCAGGAUGUUGGCUUAGAAGCAGCCAUCAUUUAAAGAAAGCGUAAUAGCUCACUGGUCGAGUCGGCCUGCGCGGAAGAUGUAACGGGGCUAAACCAUGCACCGAAGCUGCGGCAGCGACACUAUGUGUUGUUGGGUAGGGGAGCGUUCUGUAAGCCUGUGAAGGUGUACUGUGAGGUAUGCUGGAGGUAUCAGAAGUGCGAAUGCUGACAUAAGUAACGAUAAAGCGGGUGAAAAGCCCGCUCGCCGGAAGACCAAGGGUUCCUGUCCAACGUUAAUCGGGGCAGGGUGAGUCGACCCCUAAGGCGAGGCCGAAAGGCGUAGUCGAUGGGAAACAGGUUAAUAUUCCUGUACUUGGUGUUACUGCGAAGGGGGGACGGAGAAGGCUAUGUUGGCCGGGCGACGGUUGUCCCGGUUUAAGCGUGUAGGCUGGUUUUCCAGGCAAAUCCGGAAAAUCAAGGCUGAGGCGUGAUGACGAGGCACUACGGUGCUGAAGCAACAAAUGCCCUGCUUCCAGGAAAAGCCUCUAAGCAUCAGGUAACAUCAAAUCGUACCCCAAACCGACACAGGUGGUCAGGUAGAGAAUACCAAGGCGCUUGAGAGAACUCGGGUGAAGGAACUAGGCAAAAUGGUGCCGUAACUUCGGGAGAAGGCACGCUGAUAUGUAGGUGAAGCGACUUGCUCGUGGAGCUGAAAUCAGUCGAAGAUACCAGCUGGCUGCAACUGUUUAUUAAAAACACAGCACUGUGCAAACACGAAAGUGGACGUAUACGGUGUGACGCCUGCCCGGUGCCGGAAGGUUAAUUGAUGGGGUUAGCGGUAACGCGAAGCUCUUGAUCGAAGCCCCGGUAAACGGCGGCCGUAACUAUAACGGUCCUAAGGUAGCGAAAUUCCUUGUCGGGUAAGUUCCGACCUGCACGAAUGGCGUAAUGAUGGCCAGGCUGUCUCCACCCGAGACUCAGUGAAAUUGAACUCGCUGUGAAGAUGCAGUGUACCCGCGGCAAGACGGAAAGACCCCGUGAACCUUUACUAUAGCUUGACACUGAACAUUGAGCCUUGAUGUGUAGGAUAGGUGGGAGGCUUUGAAGUGUGGACGCCAGUCUGCAUGGAGCCGACCUUGAAAUACCACCCUUUAAUGUUUGAUGUUCUAACGUUGGCCCGUAAUCCGGGUUGCGGACAGUGUCUGGUGGGUAGUUUGACUGGGGCGGUCUCCUCCUAAAGAGUAACGGAGGAGCACGAAGGUUGGCUAAUCCUGGUCGGACAUCAGGAGGUUAGUGCAAUGGCAUAAGCCAGCUUGACUGCGAGCGUGACGGCGCGAGCAGGUGCGAAAGCAGGUCAUAGUGAUCCGGUGGUUCUGAAUGGAAGGGCCAUCGCUCAACGGAUAAAAGGUACUCCGGGGAUAACAGGCUGAUACCGCCCAAGAGUUCAUAUCGACGGCGGUGUUUGGCACCUCGAUGUCGGCUCAUCACAUCCUGGGGCUGAAGUAGGUCCCAAGGGUAUGGCUGUUCGCCAUUUAAAGUGGUACGCGAGCUGGGUUUAGAACGUCGUGAGACAGUUCGGUCCCUAUCUGCCGUGGGCGCUGGAGAACUGAGGGGGGCUGCUCCUAGUACGAGAGGACCGGAGUGGACGCAUCACUGGUGUUCGGGUUGUCAUGCCAAUGGCACUGCCCGGUAGCUAAAUGCGGAAGAGAUAAGUGCUGAAAGCAUCUAAGCACGAAACUUGCCCCGAGAUGAGUUCUCCCUGACUCCCUGAGAGUCCUGAAGGAACGUUGAAGACGACGACGUUGAUAGGCCGGGUGUGUAAGCGCAGCGAUGCGUUGAGCUAACCGGUACUAAUGAACCGUGAGGCUUAACCUU
Molecule: ribosomal RNA, 2902 nt
Filed under: human gut metagenome
Description: bacterial LSU rRNA
Rfam family: Bacterial large subunit ribosomal RNA
Source: RNAcentral